CACCACUCGAGCACCGCUCGGUGUUGGGGCGCGCGGGUCCAUCAGCGGCCCGCGGCCCCGAAGGAAAGCGGCGGCGGCCCCAGGAGCCCUCUGCGUAGUGAAACCCUCGCACCGGGAGCCUUCGGCUCGCCAGCCUGCCAACUCUGGAAAAACCCCCUUCGCGGGGCGCUUCCAUCU
Molecule: unclassified non-coding RNA, 177 nt
Filed under: uncultured Ascomycota
Lineage: Eukaryota; Fungi; Ascomycota
Description: sequence contains ITS2
Source: RNAcentral